This 373-nucleotide ribosomal RNA is filed under the name uncultured organism. RNAcentral describes it as "bacterial SSU rRNA". It matches the Rfam family "Bacterial small subunit ribosomal RNA", at positions 526 to 896 of the family's 1533-position model. The record is from RNAcentral.
CGUAGGGUGCAAGCGUUGUCCGGAAUUAUUGGGCGUAAAGAGCUCGUAGGCGGUUUGUCGCGUCGACUGUGAAAACCCGAGGCUUAACCUCGGGCCUGCAGUCGAUACGGGCAGACUAGAGUUCGGUAGGGGAGACUGGAAUUCCUGGUGUAGCGGUGAAAUGCGCAGAUAUCAGGAGGAACACCGGUGGCGAAGGCGGGUCUCUGGGCCGAUACUGACGCUGAGGAGCGAAAGCGUGGGGAGCGAACAGGAUUAGAUACCCUGGUAGUCCACGCCGUAAACGUUGGGCGCUAGGUGUGGGGGUCUUUCCACGAUCUCCGUGCCGCAGCUAACGCAUUAAGCGCCCCGCCUGGGGAGCACGGCCGCAAGGCUA